Molecule: ribosomal RNA, 254 nt
Filed under: uncultured bacterium
Lineage: Bacteria
Description: partial 16S ribosomal RNA
Rfam family: Bacterial small subunit ribosomal RNA
Source: RNAcentral
UACAGAGGUCUCAAGCGUUGUCCGGAUUUAUUGGGCGUAAAGAGCGUGUAGGCGGCUGGGUAGGUCUGCUGUGAAAACUCGAGGCUCAACCUCGAGACGUCGGCGGAAACCCUCCAGCUAGAGUCCGGAAGAGGAGAGUGGAAUUCCUGGUGUAGCGGUGAAAUGCGCAGAUAUCAGGAAGAACACCCGUGGCGAAAGCGGCUCUCUGGGACGGUACUGACGCUGAGUGCGCGAAAGCCAGGGGAGCAAACGGG